Molecule: non-coding RNA, 1301 nt
Organism: Chiloscyllium plagiosum (whitespotted bambooshark)
Lineage: Eukaryota; Metazoa; Chordata; Chondrichthyes; Orectolobiformes; Hemiscylliidae
Source: RefSeq, a predicted model, not a curated record
AACACCGACUUCACCGCCUCCUGGUGCUGCUUGGCUUGCUGUGUUCCAGUUCCCAGCAGGCCCAGCGCCGGCUCCGUACGCACGCGCACUGCUACUUUCCUGACGCUGCUGCGCUUGAGCGCCAUGGCGAAGAAGCUGGCGGCGGAUGAUCCGAAUCUGAUCGCUAUGAUCGUCGACCACCUCAAGAGCCGCGGCCUUUUCGAUGAGUUCCGCAGAGACUGUCUGGCUGAUGUUGACACCAAGCCAGCCUAUCAGAAUCUCAGACAAAGAGUUGAUAAUUUUGUGUCCAAUCACUUGGCUAAUCACGAGUGGAAUCCAAGCCUUAACAAAAAUCAGCUGCGUAAUGAACUUCGACAGAGGGUCUGUAAUUUCUCUUUUCGUGCUCAUGAUUGGGGAGCUGAUUGGAUCAGGUUGUGGAAGGGCAGGCUGUGGUCGAAAGGCACGCUUUACCUAUCAGGCAUGUUGGAAUCAGGCGUUGACAGAAUUAUCUCUCAGGUUGUCGAUCCAAAGCUGUAUCACAUUUUCAAACCACAGAUAGAGAAGGCAGUCCAUGAGUUUAUGGCUACAGAAAUGAAAGAGGACGUUGUGCCAAAUCCACCUCCAGAGCCUGAAAAACAAGAGCUCUCUGCUUCAGCUUCAGGUACACCCUGAGGUAGCACUUCAAAUGCCCUAGCACCAGCAUAAUGUUUUCUGUCCUGAGCAGCAGCAUCUUCAACUGUAGUUGCACGAUCAGUUAAGAAUAAAUUUCAUUCUGAGGCAAAGUCCUUUUCUAGGAUAAACCAAGUUGGAUGCUGUCAACUGUUUACAGCAGCAUUGCUGCAUCAUUAUGUUAAAUAGAGGAAGUCAUGGGAAAUGGACACUGAAGAAAACAUGAAAGUUGUUGGAUCGUAAUUGCAGACAGAAUUUGGGGACUUCGGGAACCAAUGUGAACAGACGCACUGAUGCUUUGGGCAACAUUUCAAACUUUGAAGAAAUAUUAAGUGAUUAGAAUAAAUGAGGAAAAUGUUAUAUUAUAAAUGGACAAAUUGUGACUUCCAUUGAAGAAGAACGUGUACUGAGGAGAUGAAGUUUUUAAUUUCCAAUUUCCUAUUUCAUCCAAGAUAGCCUACCUAUCCAAAAGGUUUGAUGUCCAAAUGCUGUAUUUUAAGAAGGUGACUUCAUUGAUCACCAAAUUCUGGAAAAAAAAACUUUACAAUUCCCUCCUCUGAAAUGUAUGUUCACCAUUUGUGACAGCUGCACUAUAACAAUGUAAAAAUGCAUCAUGUUUAAAUAAAUAUGCCAAUUGUUUGGCUUCAAAUUAA